GAUGAACGCUGGCGGCGUGCCUAAUACAUGCAAGUCGAGCGAACGGACGAGAAGCUUGCUUCUCUGAUGUUAGCGGCGGACGGGUGAGUAACACGUGGAUAACCUACCUAUAAGACUGGGAUAACUUCGGGAAACCGGAGCUAAUACCGGAUAAUAUUUUGAACCGCAUGGUUCAACAGUGAAAGACGGUCUUGCUGUCACUUAUAGAUGGAUCCGCGCUGCAUUAGCUAGUUGGUAAGGUAACGGCUUACCAAGGCAACGAUGCAUAGCCGACCUGAGAGGGUGAUCGGCCACACUGGAACUGAGACACGGUCCAGACUCCUACGGGAGGCAGCAGUAGGGAAUCUUCCGCAAUGGGCGAAAGCCUGACGGAGCAACGCCGCGUGAGUGAUGAAGGUCUUCGGAUCGUAAAACUCUGUUAUUAGGGAAGAACAUAUGUGUAAGUAACUAUGCACAUCUUGACGGUACCUAAUCAGAAAGCCACGGCUAACUACGUG
Molecule: ribosomal RNA, 497 nt
Filed under: uncultured bacterium
Lineage: Bacteria
Description: partial 16S ribosomal RNA
Rfam family: Bacterial small subunit ribosomal RNA
Source: RNAcentral